Molecule: long non-coding RNA, 1483 nt
Organism: Hylaeus volcanicus
Lineage: Eukaryota; Metazoa; Arthropoda; Insecta; Hymenoptera; Colletidae
Exons: 4
Source: RefSeq, a predicted model, not a curated record
AUGUUCGAUCCUUGCGCGAAUCGCGGAUACACUAGGUGUCUCAGCAAUUGUAGUAUAAAACAGUCAAACGAAACGAUUCAUCAAACGGAAACGGACCGAACAUUUUAAAUGGAAUUUUUGUUGUAUGAUAAAUUGUAAAAUGAUAAAAUCAACAGUUUAUUUACGAGGUGAAGAGAUUCAUUCUUUGGCUAUUUAAAGUAAAUUUAACAUUUAUAAAUAAAAAUCAUACAACCUUUAAGCUACCCUCAGUCAUAUAUUCCAAGAAGAGACCCGUAGCGAUCUUGUCGCGAACGAGUGAAAUAAUGCUGUAAACUCCACUAUCGAUGCUAGAAUUAUGUCUCCCGUGAAAGUACUCUGGAAUACUUUAUUGUGCAGAGCAAAGCAAACACGACUCCUUGAAGAGGCUAAAGGACCUGAGGAAACUGUCCUCGUGCAUACGAUCUACACGUACGUUGCAAUCACGUUCGAAGGGGUAAUUCUGUAGGAGAUUGCCAAUCCUCCGCAGCAACAAGUAUAACUAAGCUGGUAUUUCGCAGGUGUGAAUCGAAUUUCGAAAAAAAAAAGAACAUCCGAGUUGAAGAUGACUUCGAUGGUGCUCACAAUUAAUUUUUAUCGCUUCAUGUUAUAUUACUUGUCUUUAUAUCGUGUACGUGGGUACUGUACUUAGAUUUUAGAAUAUUUAGAGGCUUCCAAUAACAAUAAUCGUUACAAAUUGCUUAAGCAUUCGUCGAAAUGAAAGAAACGGAGCAGUGCAGACGGCCGAGCAAACCACUCCAACGAGAAGUGGUUCCAUUCGAUUGUUUAAUUUUCAUCUUUAAUUGUCCUUAAUUGCAUCAGACCCCAACGCAGACGUAAUUUCAACCUCCAAUCGGCGCUCAAAUCACAAUGUUUGUCUUGUAUAUCCGUCCGGACGAAAUCGACCUCUCUACCCCCUUAAAUUGCUCAUCGCUGCUCGCACAUUCGAGAAAGUAAUUUUCGUUUCGGCUAUUCUAUCGCCCCUCGAACGAAUGAUUACAUCAUCCGAGGGGGAUGCAUCAUUCUCGCACCCGAGCCAGGGGUGGAUUAACUUGAUGCGCAACCCCGUCACCAAAAUUCAUAAUCUGUACAGCCCGAGCGAGAACCAUAUUCCCCCGCAAGUGGCAAAUACUAACACAAAGAACGCGAUGUUAUCGAACGUCAUUCGCAUCGUGUCGUCGAGCCAUUUUACGAGCGAAACUUUGCACGCGGGAGAUUCACAAUGGCGGCGACUUCGUUCGAUAGAACCAGGAGUUCGAUUACUUUGAAUAUUUGUUCGGUGAUCGAAUCUGUAAUAAUUAUUGUUAUCGUAAAUGGGUCGGAUGCAAGUAUAAUGCGUAGGUAAAUAAUGAAACAAAGAACCGAUGAAAUAUGUACAAAAAUUAAUUGUGAAUUUAAUUUGAGAAUUUUCUAUCUAUCGACUUCAUAUAUGUAUUACUAUAAUAUAUAAGUACUUCAUUCUGGUAUC